CAGUAGCCGCGGGAAUACGUAGGUGGCAAGCGUUGUCCGGAAUUAUUGGGCGUAAAGCGCGCGCAGGCGGAUCAGUCAGUCUGUCUUAAAAGUUCGGGGCUUAACCCCGUGAUGGGAUGGAAACUGCUGAUCUAGAGUAUCGGAGAGGAAAGUGGAAUUCCUAGUGUAGCGGUGAAAUGCGUAGAUAUUAGGAAGAACACCAGUGGCGAAGGCGACUUUCUGGACGAAAACUGACGCUGAGGCUCGAAAGCGUGGGGAGCAAACAGGAUUAGAUACCCCGGUAGUCCCUGUCUCUUAUACA
RNAcentral lists this ribosomal RNA (301 nucleotides) under uncultured bacterium. Its description in RNAcentral is "partial 16S ribosomal RNA". It matches the Rfam family "Bacterial small subunit ribosomal RNA", at positions 509 to 808 of the family's 1533-position model. The record is from RNAcentral.